UAAACGACUCUCGGCAACGGAUAUCUCGGCUCACGCAUCGAUGAAGAACGUAGCAAAAUGCGAUACUUGGUGUGAAUUGCAGAAUCCCGUGAACCAUCGAGUUUUUGAACGCAAGUUGCGCCCGAAGCCUUCUGUUUAAGGGCACGUCUGCCUGGGCGUCAUGC
This 164-nucleotide ribosomal RNA is filed under the name Dubautia scabra subsp. leiophylla. RNAcentral's name for it is "5.8S ribosomal RNA". It matches the Rfam family "5.8S ribosomal RNA". Rfam says of the family: 5.8S ribosomal RNA (5.8S rRNA) is a component of the large subunit of the eukaryotic ribosome. The record is from RNAcentral. Lineage: Eukaryota; Viridiplantae; Streptophyta; Magnoliopsida; Asterales; Asteraceae.